UUUGAUCCUGGCUCAGAACGAACGCUGGCGGCAGGCCUAACACAUGCAAGUCGAGCGCGCCCUUCGGGGUGAGCGGCGGACGGGUUAGUAACGCGUGGGAACGUACCCAGAUCUACGGAAUAGCCUUUGGAAACGAAGAGUAAUACCGUAUACGCCCUUCGGGGGAAAGAUUUAUCGGAUUUGGAUCGGCCCGCGUUAGAUUAGAUAGUUGGUGGGGUAACGGCCUACCAAGUCUACGAUCUAUAGCUGGUUUUAGAGGAUGAUCAGCAACACUGGGACUGAGACACGGCCCAGACUCCUACGGGAGGCAGCAGUGGGGAAUCUUAGACAAUGGGCGCAAGCCUGAUCUAGCCAUGCCGCGUGAGUGAUGAAGGCCUUAGGGUCGUAAAGCUCUUUCGCCAGAGAUGAUAAUGACAGUAUCCGGUAAAGAAACCCCGGCUAACUCCGUGCCAGCAGCCGCGGUAAUAAGGGCGAAUU
RNAcentral lists this ribosomal RNA (477 nucleotides) under uncultured bacterium. RNAcentral's name for it is "bacterial SSU rRNA". It matches the Rfam family "Bacterial small subunit ribosomal RNA", at positions 12 to 535 of the family's 1533-position model. The record is from RNAcentral.